This 480-nucleotide ribosomal RNA is filed under the name uncultured bacterium. RNAcentral's name for it is "partial 16S ribosomal RNA". It matches the Rfam family "Bacterial small subunit ribosomal RNA", at positions 28 to 523 of the family's 1533-position model. The record is from RNAcentral.
GACGAACGCUGGCGGCGUGCUUAACACAUGCAAGUCGAACGGUGAAGGGAGCUUGCUCCCGGAUCAGUGGCGAACGGGUGAGUAACACGUGAGCAACCUACCCUUGACUCCGGGAUAACAGUUGGAAACAGCUGCUAAUACCGGAUAUGACCUGGAAGGGCAUCCUUCCGGGUGGAAAGCUCCGACGGUCAAGGAUGGGCUCGCGGCCUAUCAGCUUGUUGGUGGGGUAACGGCCCACCAAGGCGACGACGGGUAGCCGGCCUGAGAGGGCGACCGGCCACACUGGGACUGAGAUACGGCCCAGACUCCUACGGGAGGCAGCAGUGGGGAAUAUUGCACAAUGGGCGAAAGCCUGAUGCAGCAACGCCGCGUGCGGGAUGACGGCCUUCGGGUUGUAAACCGCUUUCAGCAGGGACGAAGCUAACGUGACGGUACCUGCAGAAGAAGCACCUGCUAACUACGUGCCAGCCGCCGCCGUAA